This is a long non-coding RNA of Megachile rotundata (alfalfa leafcutting bee), 831 nucleotides long. Lineage: Eukaryota; Metazoa; Arthropoda; Insecta; Hymenoptera; Megachilidae. The record is from RefSeq and is a predicted model, not a curated record.
CGCCCGCCGUGAGAAGCUCCACCAGCUGGUGUCGGACUUCCUCUGCUUCUUGGACGUUAUCCGCUCCAGCCAGGAUAUCGUCGACGUAUGAGUGACGUCGCAACGCUUCCGCUCCUCGUGGGAAACGUUUGCCCUCAUCAUCGGCGAGCUGCUGGAGAACCCGAAGAGCCAGAAAGGGUGCGGGGGUGGUUCCGUACGUGACCGUUGUAAGACGGAAGUCCCGCACUUCCUCGAAAAAGCACAUCGGAAAAGUCUCCAGCGUGUGAGGACCAUCCAUAACUCACUCUGCAGUUUGGGACCUGGCAACAAAACCGAAUUAAGCGAUGACCUACCCGUGGAAACACACGAUGCAUUGAAAACGACGCGAAUCUUCGCAUCGUCGCCAUCUCCUUUCCAUACGCCGUGGUGAGGUACUCGUCGAGGAAUGCAGCGUACCUCUCCCGGAGACGCGGGUCACGUUCUCGGCGCCGUUCCGAUGUUAGCAGCAUCCGGGCGGCUGUUACUCGUGUCACCCCUACAUCUUCGGCCGGUUGAGAGGAAAAUGGCAAACGUACCACAUAGCGUCCCGUACCGUCCCUCGAGUGAGUGUUCGAAAAAUGUUCCUCGCACUGGAUCUCGGAGGGGUGCAAGGGCGCUGUCGUCGGAACGUUUUCGAUCUCCCAGAAGCGCUGCAGCGAGACGAGGCUUGGACUGGUCCCAGCGGAGCCCAGCCAAAAGGAGUCCGCACUAGCGGAGGAACACCUGGUGGACCCACGCGAUUCUCCAGAAACAGGAAUCCGCACACGUCAGCGCCCAGGAGAGCAUCGACUCGAGAUGGUACCCUGAAGUUCU